UCUCUUCUGGCUCAUUAUCAUAUGUUUGCAUUUGGUUUGUCUGAUUGCUGCAGGUGGAAACAAUAGGUGAUGCAUACUGUGUUGCCGCAGGACUCCAUAGGAAAAGCCUCUGCCACGCUAAGCCCAUUGCUCUCAUGGCCCUGAAGAUGAUGGAGCUUUCAGAAGAGGUGCUGACACCUGAUGGAAGACCAAUUCAGAUGAGGAUAGGCAUCCACUCAGGUUCUGUGCUCGCUGGAGUUGUUGGGGUAAGAAUGCCACGAUAUUGGCUGUUUGGAAAUAAUGUCACUCUGGCAAGCAAAUUCGAAUCAGGAAGUCACCCUCGGCGCAUCAACGUCAGCCCUACCACUUACCAACUGCGUGUUCCUGGUGACUGUGCCAGCUUGGAGAUUUGGAUGUGAUGGACUGGGGAUCCUGGAACCCUCCUUGCUGAGGCUUCCCUGGUGGGAUGUCUGGAACCACACUGGGUGCAGUCCAGGCUACUGUGCGGAGGGUGCCCUGGCAGGACAACUGCAGUGGAAGUGGAUGCAAGCUGAGGGAUCCUGGGGAUCUCUGCACCAAGGAUGGCCAGGAAAUGCAUGCCAGAAUGUACCCUCUCGCAAAAACACCAGGCAUGCAGACUAUGGAAUCCACAGUAAGCACACUUGGCUGUCAACAUUUAACUCAGGAUGCUUGCAGAAAAAAAUGAGUCACAGCAUCAGCAUAGGGCUCUCUGCCCUGUAUUUUUCAGAGGACAUGCAGGAAGACUAUCCCUUUCUGAGGAUUAACUUGAAUUAA
This 774-nucleotide long non-coding RNA is filed under the name Felis catus (domestic cat). Its description in RNAcentral is "lncRNA (ENSFCAG00000053785.1)". Lineage: Eukaryota; Metazoa; Chordata; Mammalia; Carnivora; Felidae. The record is from RNAcentral.